This 71-nucleotide transfer RNA is filed under the name Camelus ferus (Wild Bactrian camel). It matches the Rfam family "tRNA". From Rfam's summary of the family: Transfer RNA (tRNA) molecules are approximately 80 nucleotides in length. Their secondary structure includes four short double-helical elements and three loops (D, anti-codon, and T loops). Further hydrogen bonds mediate the characteristic L-shaped molecular structure. tRNAs have two regions of fundamental functional importance: the anti-codon, which is responsible for specific mRNA codon recognition, and the 3' end, to which the tRNAs corresponding amino acid is attached (by aminoacyl-tRNA synthetases). tRNAs cope with the degeneracy of the genetic code in two manners: having more than one tRNA (with a specific anti-codon) for a particular amino acid; and 'wobble' base-pairing, i.e. permitting non-standard base-pairing at the 3rd anti-codon position. Lineage: Eukaryota; Metazoa; Chordata; Mammalia; Artiodactyla; Camelidae. The record is from Rfam by way of RNAcentral.
GAGGGUAUAGCUCAGUGGUAGAGCUUGUGCUUAGCAUGCACAAGGUCCUGGGUUCAAUACCCAGUACCUCA